Molecule: ribosomal RNA, 482 nt
Filed under: uncultured bacterium
Lineage: Bacteria
Description: partial 16S ribosomal RNA
Rfam family: Bacterial small subunit ribosomal RNA
Source: RNAcentral
AUUGAACGCUGGCGGCAUGCCUUACACAUGCAAGUCGAACGGUAACGGGCCUUCGGGUGCCGACGAGUGGCGAACGGGUGAGUAAUACAUCGGAACGUGCCCGAUCGUGGGGGAUAACGAGGCGAAAGCUUUGCUAAUACCGCAUACGAUCUACGGAUGAAAGCAGGGGACCGCAAGGCCUUGCGCGGGCGGAGCGGCGGAUGUCAGAUUAGGUAGUUGGUGGGAUAAAAGCUUACCAAGCCGACGAUCUGUAGCUGGUCUGAGAGGAUGAUCAGCCACACUGGGACGGAGACACGGCCCAGACUCCUACGGGAGGCAGCAGUGGGGAAUUUUGGACAAUGGGCGCAAGCCUGAUCCAGCCAUGCCGCGUGCAGGAUGAAGGCCUUCGGGUUGUAAACUGCUUUUGUACGGAACGAAAAGCCUUCUUUUAAUACAGGAGGGUCAUGACGGUACCGUAAGAAUAAGCACCGGCUAACUACGUG